UACGUAGGGUGCGAGCGUUGUCCGGCAUUAUUGGGCGUAAAGGGCUCGUAGGCGGUCUGUUGCGUCGGGAGUGAAAACUCAGGGCUUAACCCUGAGCCUGCUUCCGAUACGGGCAGACUAGAGGUAUGCAGGGGAGAACGGAAUUCCUGGUGUAGCGGUGAAAUGCGCAGAUAUCAGGAGGAACACCGGUGGCGAAGGCGGUUCUCUGGGCAUUACCUGACGCUGAGGAGCGAAAGUGUGGGGAGCGAACAGG
RNAcentral lists this ribosomal RNA (253 nucleotides) under uncultured bacterium. RNAcentral's name for it is "partial 16S ribosomal RNA". It matches the Rfam family "Bacterial small subunit ribosomal RNA", at positions 524 to 776 of the family's 1533-position model. The record is from RNAcentral.